UGUGGUACAAUGUAACCGUUGCUUAGCAACCCUUGGUGCUUAGUUCCCUUUCACCAAGCAUAUUAGACACGUAAAGAGUUAGGUUUGACUAACUGCUUUGACGUUAAAGGAGAAAAAAUG
Streptococcus dysgalactiae subsp. equisimilis RE378 is the source of this 120-nucleotide non-coding RNA. The record is from Rfam. Lineage: Bacteria; Bacillati; Bacillota; Bacilli; Lactobacillales; Streptococcaceae.